Molecule: non-coding RNA, 64 nt
Organism: Aedes albopictus (Asian tiger mosquito)
Lineage: Eukaryota; Metazoa; Arthropoda; Insecta; Diptera; Culicidae
Source: the annotation of a RefSeq genome assembly
GUUUUAAUAGUUUAACAAAACAUCAGUCUUGUAAACUGGAAAUAAAAAUUAUUUUUUUAAAACU